This is a long non-coding RNA of Gallus gallus (chicken), 3710 nucleotides long. NCBI's taxonomy places the organism in Eukaryota, Metazoa, Chordata, Aves, Galliformes, Phasianidae. The record is from Ensembl.
CAAAACAAAUGUAGGUGAGGUCAGUGCAAAGGAGAGCUUCACGUUCAGCCUUCAUUGCCUGCAUUUAAAGACAAACAGCUGUCCUGAGUUUCAGCUGGAGGAGGAAGACACCAUCAAACAUGAAUGUUGUGGAUUUUCACAGGUUUGGUGUUUCCCUGCAACAAUCUGCUCGCACAGCCUUCCUCCCAUUGCGCACACCCGGCUCUGCGCGGCUCCGUGGUGGACCUGCAACUUUGCUGGCGAUGUUUGUUUUCAAAAGACAAAUAUUGUGCCAGCGUUCGCUUCAAUUAGGAGACUUAUUUGACAAUCUGACUACUCCAUCUGAUGCCUCAAGGGCAAAUUUCAGCACUUUAUGAAAGAUGCCGGCCAAAGACUGAUCUAUAUGAAUAAAAUAUUGAGGGGAGAAGUUGUAAUGAACAUUUGAAAACACAACUAUCAAGCAUUCAUUGCAAAUAUUUACACGCAAUAAAGGAUCUGUUUUAUCCCCAUGAAGGCUAUCACAUUUGGACAGAAAGCUGCUAUACUCCAUUCCAACUCACUCUGCGAUGCCUCCAUGUCAAGAGUGGGGCACAGUUGGUGACAAGGAACUUCAGUGCAUGGCUCCAUAGGGCCAAUCCUACAACCAGUGACUCAAUCAGGGGGUCUUCAUGGCACCACAUCCUCAUGGGUUGCUUUGGGGCUCAGUCAUUCUUUUCUACAUUAAUCACCAGAUCAGCUUAUUUAGUGAUGGUGAUGGCUGCCCCAUAAGGCUUCCCAGUGCUGCUGGAACCAGGGCUCUUCGCUCCCACAAUUCAUCCACAUGCAGGAGCAUAGCAUCACCCACCAUCUAGAUGCAUGCAGAUAAAACAGAGACAAAGGUGACUUUGUAGCACUACUCUGGGUGAAAUUCCAUUUUUUUUUUCCACUGUCUGGCUGUGUCUGAUGUGCCUCUGCUGAAAAGGUUUCUAUUUUGAUGAAGACACAAAGGCUUGAACGCUUUUCUGAACCAAUUUGGUGGCAACUGUGUGCUGGGAAUUAUUCUCACGAGGCUUCAAACCUGUGCAAAUGUUUUGAAGGAGACAUAACCUCGCUUUAAUUAUCAUCUCAACACUUUGUAGCAAAGAUGUGAUCUCCUAUAGCUCCUUUAGGGUCAUGCAGAUACUCUGGGCCCGAUCGUUGGAUGGUGGGAACUCGUGCGCUGGCUCUGAGGCCACCUCUAUUUGCAUCUGACUCCACUCACCCAUUCUCAUUUCACAGCCAAACACACAAGCAUUUUUUUUCUAUAGACUUUAAUUCAAAGGUCUGUCAAACUAAAGCAGCUGGGAAUGCUCUGUUGGAAUGACUUUCCGGUGGAAUAUCUGCCUUUUAUAAAAUUGGGAUUUCUUUUAUGGGAAAAUUUCAAUUUUGCCAGAAAUUUUUGAUUUUUCUAUUAGGAAAAUCAAACGGAUGGCUCCACGGCUGCUUGGCUGGAAGGCCCCUGUCGAUUUUGUUGUCGUCUGCAGGGAGAGAGCAAAAUUGACAAUAGUCUUCCAGGCAGGCAGCUGGGGAGAUGCAGCAGGUCUGGAAGAGGGAGGAGGGGAGGUUGAGUGCCCUGGCGCUCUGCCGGCCCUGCAGCCCAGCUGCCUCCCCAGCAGCCAGGCUAGGGGGAAGGCAAGGAGGAGGAGGAGGGAGCGGCAGGCGUGGGGUGUCCUGCCUGCAGCAGCCUGCCGACUGGGCUCCUGCCGCUCACCCCUUUCGGCAGGCAGCUGGCAAGCCCCAAGAAAUUCCAGUUUGCUUCCCUUAAAAGAGGCUUGGGGUUUUGUUUUAUUUUACGGAGAGUUCUUCUCAGAGGAAAAAGGAAAAAAAAAAAAAAGAGUAAAAAAAGAAAAAACAAUAUUUUGUUUUUCCUCAAUUUAUAGGGGAAGGAGGGAGGGAUUUUGAAAAUGAGUAUUUUUUCACAGGAAGGAAUUUCUGUGAUUCAGCCAGCUCUACCUUAUGCCUACUAUACUAGAAAUAUACAUAUACAUGUAUGUAUUAUUUUUUUCCACAGUCCAUACAUUGUUAAAAGUACAGCACGGGAAAUCAAUGCACCUGUAUGGAGAAGGCCAGCAGAAGAGCACCACUGGCCAAACUGCCCUGCCAAGCCCUUGUGCUGCCUUUACCAUCAACAUUCUAUAAAGAGUCCCGGCAUCUCUGUGCCUUUGCCCAUCACUGAGCAAUAACCAAAAAGGAAGCAUAACAGGAUAGAUAAGCUUUAGUCUGAUGCCAUUUGGAGUGUCUGCCAGAUAAAUCCUAGAAUUCAAGGAUUUUAUGGUGUUGGUCAUAGACCUUUAAGUACAACACAGUGAAUGUGCCUUGCUAUAACAUAGAUCAUAAACUGGCAGCUGAGCCCAUUUCAGGCUGUUUUGCAGGCUGCAAAGCCUCUUCCAUUGUGUGUUUGUAUGUAUUUCUCACCCUUCCUGAGGGUGUUCAAGUCAUCCCCUACUUAAUCCACCCUGUCUACCAGCAGUAGAGACUGUAGCUACAACGACGGGAGGAAAACAUAUAGUCACUUCCUGACUCUAUAAAAAGUGUUUAGCCCCAGUAAUGAGUUCUGGAAGGCUUCCUUUGAGAUUUCACACGCAGAAGCACACACAAAAGCACUCCUGCUGUUGCAGGACUCAUUAUUCUUCAGAUCCUAUGCAGAUUUUUGUAAAAGAAAAAGACUAAGAGUUAUGAAAUCUUUGAAUCAUUACGUCCAGAAAAUCAGGUAGAAGAUAUAUUUCAACAAGAACCCUUACAGAAAAAAAAAAAAAAAAAAAAAAAAGAAGUUGUUAAAUUGUAUUUGUCUGCAUUCCAAUAAUCCAUCCAUGAUUAUGUUAUAGAUGUGACACCAGUAUUGAUGGAACACCAAAAUGUAGAGGUAUCGGUGCAGAACAACAUCAGCAGAGUAAAAGAGUAAAUAUGACUUCUUUAAUAGUAGUCUCUCUUAUUAUUUUAUAGUGUAGGCUUUUCGGAUAAUUUAUUAAUACUAACAAAGAUGAGUGAUUUGGAGGCUGGAUAUUUUUUAUUUCUUAGGAGUUAUUUUAUUUGAUAAUGUCAUUAAAUAUUAGAAACUAUAACAGCUGGUGUGUUUAUCCUUACUUGAGUGUAUUAACCUCUUUAGCCCUUUUUUCCAGAAGAAGGAUUCAGCAUUACAGAUUUGACUGUCAGCUGCAGUGCCUGGCGGCCCGUUGGAUUGGCAUCCUGACAGAAUCGAAAGUCCAGUGCUGCAAGUAAACAUGGAUGACAUUGCAGAUAGAUAGAACUGGCUGACUUGAGGCACCUGCAGCUGUUUGCACCAGAAUAAAAGCAAAGGUUGUGGUUGCCGGAGUGGAAAAACACUGAAUUUACCUCUAGUUAUUUUGCUUGGGAAUUUUGCAGCCCCCCCCCUCCCUCCUCACCUUUUUUUCCUGGUUAUACAUUUUGGAACCUUUCCACUAAAAGCACAUUAGGCUGAAAUACCUCAGUGAAAAAAUCCACCAGACACCAGAGGGCUUUGCAGCCCACAUUGCCCCCUUUUCUCCUUUACAUUCAUUCAGCAGUUUCCCCACUACUCCCUGGUAACAACCAGCCCUCCACCGGUGCGAACACUGAGUUGCAGCAAAGGAUGCAAACCCUAAAUAGCCGCAAACAAUUCUUAGCAGCUGAUUUUUUCAAUCUUGAAUAGCCAGAUACACUUCUCAGCAGCUGAUUUUUUUUUAACUUGGCAUUCACAGACUGCUACAAGUGAC